This 183-nucleotide ribosomal RNA is filed under the name Triticum aestivum (bread wheat). Its description in RNAcentral is "partial small subunit ribosomal RNA". Lineage: Eukaryota; Viridiplantae; Streptophyta; Magnoliopsida; Poales; Poaceae. The record is from RNAcentral.
AGAAGGCCGCUUGUCUCCCUGAUGAUGCUUAUCUCCUGGGAAAUAUGGAAGGAGCGAAAUGUUAGAGUUUUCUGCAACAUGGCCGUUCCAGUGGGAGUGUUGGUCGCCAAGAUUAAAGAGGAAUGCUCGUUUUGGAGCCUUGCGGGAGCAAAACAUUUGUGUAACAUUAUAUCGCCAGAGUGA